This 517-nucleotide unclassified non-coding RNA is filed under the name uncultured Glomus. RNAcentral describes it as "SSU rRNA". It matches the Rfam family "Eukaryotic small subunit ribosomal RNA", at positions 569 to 1092 of the family's 1831-position model. Lineage: Eukaryota; Fungi; Glomeromycota; Glomeromycetes; Glomerales; Glomeraceae. The record is from RNAcentral. RNAcentral also lists the same sequence under 1 other name.
AGCAGCCGCGGUAAUUCCAGCUCCAAUAGCGUAUAUUAAAGUUGUUGCAGUUAAAAGCUCGUAGUUGAAUUUCGGGAUCAAUAUAUCGGUCGUGCCUUGGUACGUACUGGUAUCAUUGGUUUCUCCUUUCCGACGAACCAUGAUGUCAUUAAUUUGGUGUUAUGGGAAGUUAGGACUGUUACUUUGAAAAAUUAGAGUGUUUGAAGCAGGCUAACGCUUGAAUACAUUAGCAUGGAAUAAUGAAAUAGGACGUUUGAUCCUAUUUUGUUGGUUUCUAGGAUCGACGUAAUGAUUAAUAGGGAUAGUUGGGGGCAUUAGUAUUCAAUUGUCAGAGGUGAAAUUCUUGGAUUUAUUGAAGACUAACUACUGCGAAAGCAUUUGCCAAGGAUGUUUUCAUUAAUCAAGAACGAAAGUUAGGGAUCGAAGACGAUCAGAUACCGUCGUAGUCUUAACCAUAAACUAUGCCGACUAGGGAUCGGAUGAUGUUAAUUUUUAAUGACUCAUUCGGCGCCUUAAC